UUCCAUGGAUAGCUCAGUUGGUUAGAGUAUAGUGCUGAUAAUGCCAAGGUUGCAGGUUCAAUCCUUGUAUGGAAU
Molecule: transfer RNA, 75 nt
Filed under: Podarcis lilfordi (Lilford's wall lizard)
Lineage: Eukaryota; Metazoa; Chordata; Lepidosauria; Squamata; Lacertidae
Description: tRNA.Ile
Rfam family: tRNA
About the family: Transfer RNA (tRNA) molecules are approximately 80 nucleotides in length.
Source: RNAcentral